UAUUAAAAAUUUUAUUUAUUUGUAUUGUUAAAACCUCACACGGUUGAUGGAAUACAUGUUACGUAUACCUUAUACUUAUGUACAUGGAUAAGUUUUUAACAGUAGAAAUAGAUAAAAUUUUUAAUA
This is a non-coding RNA of Gossypium hirsutum (cotton), 126 nucleotides long. Lineage: Eukaryota; Viridiplantae; Streptophyta; Magnoliopsida; Malvales; Malvaceae. The record is from Rfam.